CGUGUAGGCGGCCCGAUUAGUCCGCUGUGAAAGUCCAGGGCUCAACCCUGGAAUGCCGGUGGAUACUGUCGGGCUAGAGUCCGGAAGGGGCGAGUGGAAUUCCUGGUGUAGCGGUGAAAUGCGCAGAUAUCAGGAGGAACACCAAUGGCGAAGGCAGCUCGCUGGGACGUGACUGACGCUGAGACGCGAAAGCGUGGGGAGCAAACA
This 207-nucleotide ribosomal RNA is filed under the name uncultured bacterium. RNAcentral describes it as "partial 16S ribosomal RNA". It matches the Rfam family "Bacterial small subunit ribosomal RNA", at positions 568 to 774 of the family's 1533-position model. The record is from RNAcentral.